Long non-coding RNA from Anopheles arabiensis, 2854 nucleotides. RefSeq lists it as uncharacterized. The record is from RefSeq and is a predicted model, not a curated record. The transcript is spliced from 2 exons. NCBI's taxonomy places the organism in Eukaryota, Metazoa, Arthropoda, Insecta, Diptera, Culicidae.
UAAAAUCGCAUCCGAUGAGCGUUGCCACCGCCCUUACCAAAAGCUAUUUUGCAUUGGUAUCAUAUCAUUCCUCCUCCUUUGGUGUAAUAAAUCGGCUGAUCUAUCAUCAAUAUCACAGCGAUAAAUACCGAUCAUCUUCGCUCUGCAACAACCUAUGAACAAUGCACCGUCAACCCACCGAAGCUUCUUCUGUACGCUGUUGCGGGACUGCAGGACAUCAUUGCAAAUGCGCUGAGAUUGCCCUGCUAAACAGCAAACAAAUUCAAAUGCUAACCAAAGUCGUUCUUGACAUUAAAAUGCAAAACGACGAGAUCCUUGAGUGGCUGGUUCAACGCGACGAAAAUCCAGUUCCGCAAGAAACGCCCGUAAUGAUACAGCCAACGCAAGAAAAUGAGGAAGUUAUUACGUUAAUUGCAUCUAGAAAGGAGUUAGCUGAUUUCGAACAGAAUCUAGGUUUAGAGGAACAGUUUGAGGACGUGAAGCGCAAGUUGCAGGCCAAAAUGAAGGCCACAGCAACAAUGGAGCGACUUCACGAGGCUUUGUACCUUAUGUUCAAUAGAUUGUUUUUGGUUGAAUGUAGCUGGAGCGGUAGAGGAGUUACUGGACCGAAAAUACCCUUUCGACGAUAUGUAAAUGUAUUGCGGCUUUUUGCUGACGUAGGGAAUGAAGAUGGCCAAAAAGUAGAUUUUGCAUCACUUGAGAAUUUUUUUCAAAAAAAACUACGAAAUGCAAAAAACAGUGCCGUUGUAUCCGGCACAAUAAAAAGCGUUUCGCGUAGCUCAUUCUCACGGAAGUGCAAAGGACGUCCUAAGAAAAAAAUGAAUUAGAUAUGGCAUCAUCCAUUCAUUACGAAACGCAAAAAAUGCACGAUUUCAACCUGCUCACUCUAACAACAGCUUUUUUAUUGAACGAAAUCAGUGUUUUUUGUGAUUUGAACUCGUUUGUUUGAACUGAAUUUGUAUUAAGAGGCAUUCACAAUUUUUGAAACGAAACAGGCUAAAAUUAUAAGGAAAAGUUAUCGCAUACAGCAAUCAAUUUCAAAAAGAUUCUGUUGAUCGUAUGCUCAGCGCUGUUUGCAAUGUUCUUACAUCAUCAUCAUCAUCAGAAGCAUUUCUUACAGGUCUUUCUGGUCCACUAUAAACAUGUUAAUCUUUCCAUAAUUUUUUCUUUGGCUUUACACAUUUUAUCAUCAUCAAAUUGAUUGUUCUAUUUCACAUAACAUAUGCUUAAUGCUAAGCAUGUCUUACAAAUUACUUACAAAAUCGAUAUUAUUUGCAGGAGGACAACAUUUUCGAUGCAUGUAUCCAUAAAAUUACGACCAAUGUUCAAUUGGUGACGAUAAAAGGGCUAACUGCCUUGACUCCAUCCCCAGUAUGAUUGAAAGGAAUUUGAUUAGUAUUACACCUGUUUCCAGCUUUGCUGUUGAAUCUGGUGCCAUUUGCUACGAAUCGCGUAUCGUCACCUGCGAAUCGUAUGCCACUAUCAUCGAAUAAGUGCCACUGCGCUCUUCUCAGUAACGGAAUGCAACGUUACUGCGACGAUCCUUUCGAAGGUUUUUUUUCGUCUGUCCGUCCGUGCUAACCAAAUUCCGUCGUGGGUUCAAUCCACGCAUGAACCGGCCCUUAUACCUUAUCUCUACAAUGUAUAGAAGAGUCUACUUUUAGACAGAACAAACUGUGGAUGAGACGGUGUUAUUAGCAGUUAUUUAAUUCCAGACGCCCACAUUAUUAUGGCGUUUCUUCAUCAGACUGAAACGUUCUUUGUAGGAACCUUUUCAAUGUCGAUCUUACAAUGAUAUUUAUACGGAAGUUUCCUGAACUUUGCAGCGGAUUUGUCAUGUCAACUAAAUAGCAUCGAGCGAUCCAGCCUGUAAAGCUCGGUUCGAUUGUCCAUAAACCAUAGGUUACAUAGAUUAUUUCCUUCGAAGUUCUCAAAGAAGGAAAUCGAAUGACAAGGACGUGUCAGUAUGAGAUUGCUGUCGGGAUAUUAGCAAAAAAAAUCAUAAUUAAUGAAUAACUAGUACAGAGCAGUAAUGGUAACAUGCACACUUGACGCAUACUUACUUGCUUACUUUUGUAUCAUGCGCUUACCAGUGUUGAGGUCUACAGGAGCACCAUGAAACGCUUUCAAUCUAGCGCCAACGUUUGACUCACAUAGCCUGAAAAUGUAUUUACAUAAAUUGUGUGCUUGGGAUGGUCCCAGAGAAAAUUUAUAAAAGGAUAAAAAGGGAUUUAAAAACCUCACACUGCAUCAACUGUUGCCUAGAGCACGCUGCAGUAGCUCCGAAUGAGUGACUAUCCCUGGACAGGGUUAAUGGACCAUUGCGAUAUAUCUGGUUUUGGAUAUGGCAUAGCGUGCGAUAUUUUCGGCAGUUCAACUUACCUCUAUAUAGUUAAAAGAAACAUCAUUUCAAAAUACCUACAAAACAUUACUGUGAAAGCAAUGCAAAAAAAUGAAUGCACAAAACACAACACUUACGUUACGACAAUACGCGUUUUGUAAUACUUUUUUUAGUUAAAUACUAGGCGCCCUUUAUUAUCCAACCGUCUGCGAGCUACUUAAACGCACCUAUCAAACGGGUCUACUGCUAUGUCUGCAACCUCCGACAGGGCAUGGGAGGUGGGGGUGGAGAGAGGACAGCGGGUAGGAGGAGACGACGAUAAUACCACUAAACCGUUGCGCAUCUUGCCGCACUGGCUAGACCGACUGUAUGCUGCUGGCUGCCCGAAACUAACCUAUCAACUACUUCCUUCCUCCCGAUGCACGGAAACCAGAAGGGGAUUUUGUCGUCCCCGUGUGUGUGUGUGUGUUUGCGCACGAGCACGUGCGUCAAAAACAAAGAGAUCGCAACAAA